RNAcentral lists this unclassified non-coding RNA (220 nucleotides) under plant metagenome. RNAcentral's name for it is "partial contains small subunit ribosomal RNA, internal transcribed spacer 1, and 5.8S ribosomal RNA". The record is from RNAcentral.
UUUCCGUAGGUGAACCUGCGGAAGGAUCAUUACAGAGUUCAUGCCCUUACGGGUAGAUCUCCCACCCUUGAGUAUUUAUACCUUAGUUGCUUUGGCAGGCCGUGGAAACACCAUGGGCUCCGGCUUAUGCGUGCCUGCCAGAGGAAACAAACUCUGUUUUUAGUGAUGUCUGAGUACUAUAUAAUAGUUAAAACUUUCAACAACGGAUCUCUUGGUUCUG